This is a long non-coding RNA of Vigna angularis (adzuki bean), 931 nucleotides long. RefSeq lists it as uncharacterized. NCBI's taxonomy places the organism in Eukaryota, Viridiplantae, Streptophyta, Magnoliopsida, Fabales, Fabaceae. The record is from RefSeq and is a predicted model, not a curated record. The transcript is spliced from 3 exons.
UUAGUCAGCAUAUUGCAUUUGCCAAACCUAAUUUCUGGACUCUUCUUUACCAUCUCCAUUCUGUCUUUUUUUAUUAUUACCAGAUGAUGACAAGAUAAUCUACGACAAGGUAUCUUCUGUAAGACCCGUGAAUUAGGAAGGUGGGACAAGGUGGUCACCCACCAUUUCCCUAAAACACGGGUGCUUGUUUGGAGGAGGGAUGCAUUAUUGAUACAAGGAAAGAAGAAAAGGGGGCGGCUGGGGGAAGAGGGUGUGUUUUUCAGUUUUUUUAUUUUGGGGGUGUCUUUUGAGAGAAGGGAAUCAGAAAGCGUAGGAAGUUUAUGGGGGACAGUGUGUUUCGUUUGUUUUUGGCUUGAAGAGUGAGAGAGAGAGAGCCGUGAGAGAGAGAGAGCCGUGAGAGAGAGAGAGAGCCGUGAGGGAGAGGGAGCAGCAGGAGGAAGGGAGCCUUCCUUCCUUCCGUUUCCAGCCGUUCGAAGAUCACCUGGGAGCUUUACCAACUUCAGGAAGACUGAGAUGGAUCUGGGUUGAGUUGUUGCAAUGUUUGCUGGGAGAAGAAGAAGUGAAGAACUCUUAAAGAUUGGAAGAAGAUCAAACUCUCUAGAAAUGAUUCAAGGAGGUCUUCAAGAGACGUUGUUGAAGAGGUUUCCCUUGAAGCAAGAGCUGGAGGUUGCUGAUGUUGCAGAAUAGUCUUCUUAGAGUUUCCUGAUUGAACACUUGUAGUGUUUAAUCCUUUCAAAUGUUCAAGUUUAAAUUUUCAGUGUCUGUUAUUGGUGAAUGACUGUAAUUUCAUAUUUAAUUACACUUCAUACUCCGACUGUUCCCUAUAUUUGGAUGUUAACGUCUUUAUUAUAUAAUAUUGGUUAUUAUAUAAUCGGGAUGUGACAUUAAUGGUAUCAGAGCAGUUCGUCCUUAGGAUGACCUUUGUGUUGUA